Acanthosepion pharaonis is the source of this 95-nucleotide non-coding RNA. NCBI's taxonomy places the organism in Eukaryota, Metazoa, Mollusca, Cephalopoda, Sepiida, Sepiidae. The record is from the annotation of a GenBank genome assembly.
CGUUGAAACAUCAGUUUCCAUGCGAUCAAUGAAGUUAAGCAACGUCGAGCCCUGUUAGUACCUAGAUGGAUGACUGCUUGGGAAUACCAGGUGCU